GAGACUGGAGUGAUGAGGACCAAGUGCAUCACUGCAUGCCUCCAGGAGCAGUGAUCAAGUGGUGCUCUGUGCCUCUCCAGUACUC
This is a microRNA precursor of Gallus gallus (chicken), 85 nucleotides long. The record is from Ensembl. NCBI's taxonomy places the organism in Eukaryota, Metazoa, Chordata, Aves, Galliformes, Phasianidae.